RNAcentral lists this ribosomal RNA (459 nucleotides) under uncultured bacterium. RNAcentral describes it as "partial 16S ribosomal RNA". It matches the Rfam family "Bacterial small subunit ribosomal RNA", at positions 338 to 795 of the family's 1533-position model. The record is from RNAcentral.
CCUACGGGAGGCAGCAGUGAGGAAUAUUGGUCAAUGGUCGGGAGACUGAACCAGCCAAGCCGCGUGAGGGAUGAAGGUACAGAGUAUCGUAAACCUCUUUUGUCAGGGCACAAAGGCGGGGACGUGUCCCCGGAUGAGUGUACCUGAAGAAAAAGCCUCGACUAACUCCGUGCCAGCAGCCGCGGUAAUCGGGGGGAUGCGAGCGUUAUCCGGAUGUAUGGGGUUUAAGGGGUGCGCAGGCGGUUUGUUAAGUCAGCGGUCAAAGCCCGGGGCUCACCCCCGACCCGCCGUUGAAACUGGCAGUCUCGAGUGGGAGAGAAGUAUGCGGAAUGCGCGGUGUAGCGGUGAAAUGCAUAGAUAUCGCGCAGAACUCCGAUUGUGAAGGCAGCAUGCCGGCUCCACACUGACGCUGAGGCACGAAAGCGUGGGUAUCGAACAGGAUUAGAUACCCGAGUAGUC